GGAAUAUUGGACAAUGGGCGCAAGCCUGAUCCAGCCAUGCCGCGUGAGUGAUGAAGGCCUUCGGGUUGUAAAGCUCUUUCAGCGGGGACGAUAAUGACGGUACCCGCAGACGCAGCCCCGGCCAACUUCGUGCCAGCAGCCGCGGUACUACGAAGGGGGCUAGCGUUGCUCGGCAUCACUGGGCGUAAAGCGCACGUAGGUGGGUCGCUGAGUCGGGGGUGAAAGCCUGGAGCUCAACUCCAGAACUGCCUUCGAUACUGGCGAUCUUCGAGUCCGGGAGAGGUGGGUGGAACUGCGAGUGUAGAGGUGAAAUUCGUAGAUAUUCGCAAGAACACCAGUGGCGAAGGCGGCUCACUGGCCCGGUACUGACACUGAGGUGCGAAAGCGUGGGGAGCAAAC
RNAcentral lists this ribosomal RNA (399 nucleotides) under uncultured bacterium. RNAcentral's name for it is "bacterial SSU rRNA". It matches the Rfam family "Bacterial small subunit ribosomal RNA", at positions 358 to 773 of the family's 1533-position model. The record is from RNAcentral.